CAGCCGCCGCGGUAAUACGUAGGGUGCAAGCGUUAAUCGGAAUUACUGGGCGUAAAGCGUGCGCAGGCGGUUAUAUAAGACAGAUGUGAAAUCCCCGGGCUCAACCUGGGAACUGCAUUUGUGACUGUAUAGCUAGAGUACGGCAGAGGGGGAUGGAAUUCCGCGUGUAGCAGUGAAAUGCGUAGAUAUGCGGAGGAACACCGAUGGCGAAGGCAAUCCCCUGGGCCUGUACUGACGCUCAUGCACGAAAGCGUGGGGAGCAAACAGGAUUAGAUACCCGCGUAGUUCCUGUCUCUUAUAC
This 301-nucleotide ribosomal RNA is filed under the name uncultured bacterium. Its description in RNAcentral is "partial 16S ribosomal RNA". It matches the Rfam family "Bacterial small subunit ribosomal RNA", at positions 509 to 807 of the family's 1533-position model. The record is from RNAcentral.